RNAcentral lists this ribosomal RNA (235 nucleotides) under uncultured bacterium. Its description in RNAcentral is "partial 16S ribosomal RNA". It matches the Rfam family "Bacterial small subunit ribosomal RNA", at positions 118 to 351 of the family's 1533-position model. The record is from RNAcentral.
UGAGUAACCUGCCCUUAACUCUGGGAUAAGCCUGGGAAACUGGGUCUAAUACCGGAUAUGACUCCUCAUCGCAUGGUGGGGGGUGGAAAGCUUUAUUGUGGUUUUGGAUGGACUCGCGGCCUAUCAGCUUGUUGGUGAGGUAAAUGGCUUACCAAGGCGACGACGGGUAGCCGGCCUGAGAGGGUGACCGGCCACACUGGGACUGAGACACGGCCCAGACUCCUACGGGAGGCAG